Molecule: long non-coding RNA, 1611 nt
Filed under: Pan troglodytes (chimpanzee)
Lineage: Eukaryota; Metazoa; Chordata; Mammalia; Primates; Hominidae
Description: lincRNA
Source: RNAcentral
CCCCAGCGCCCACUGGGGAUGGCAAAGACGACAUCCGGUGCGCCGAGGCUGCUCACAAAAUCACUCACCUGUGGCGCCCUUGGCCGCUCAGUCAAGGCUCUGAAUAUCCUGAGACUGCCCCACUGCUUGGAAGCCCCGGACACCAUAGUGUCUCCUGUAGGUCCUCCAGCCGAGCCCGAUGACCCCGGCAGGCCCAGGAGUGAUGUCCCCUCUGGAUGAUCCCAACCCCUUGCUGUGGAUUCAGCCCCCGCCGUUGUUGUGUCUUUUGGGGACCUUGUCAGUUGCCUUCCAAGUGCUAAUUCUCAUGACGAGAUAAGAAUGGCUGUGACUGGGUGUUGAUUGAUGAGCCGAACACAUUGAAUCCUGGAGUUUGAGGUUAUCAGAACUCCCCAUUUAGAAAAUCAUCCUUUAUGUUUUAGAAAAUCAUCAUUGUAUGUUGAACAUACAAUGCUUCUUUUUUCUUCAUCUCCAGUGCACUGGUCUAGAGAGCAGCAGUCGGACCCCAGAGUGUGGCACGUGUUCCUGUGUUCAUUUGAACAUUCUCUGAUGACCUGUUGCUGAGGUCAUGUGAUGAUGCGUAUCCUGUCUUCCACCCCAGCUGCCACUGUGUUUCAACUGUCGCUGGCUGUGUUUCAACUGCCGCUGUGUUGGAACUGCCAGCUAGACUCCUCACCAAAAUGGGAGGUAGCCUCUGCUGCUGUGGUGAAGGUGAAGGCUUCUUCUACCGCCAGAAUUGGCAGUUUCCCUCGCUGGAUUCUCGGGACCUGAUCCAGGCAGCACACUCGACACACUCAGCGAUUCAGCUCUACAGUAUGCACUCUGGGAUCUCCCAUUUGCUAAGGAAAGAUCUUAGCUUUGAGAAAGGUGACACUUUCCUCCCUACUUUUGCUGGAGAACUACCCUGGUUUGAGCUUCCUGCUGGAAAUGAGUGGCAAGAGAUCCCCUCUUGAGGAGACUCCGCAGGAACACCAGAGAUGAUAGUGACACACGACAACUGAGGGCAGAGGUACAGGCUGAGGAGAAAGGUGUCAAGCCUGUGGCAGCAGAGCUUCCUGGGGAGUCCUCAGAGCAAGUCAUUGCCAUUGUCGAAGUGUCUUCUAGGCUUUAUUUUGGGGCCAUUACCUCGAGCACUGUUUCUUGUCUGGUUUCCUAAUGUCAGCAACUGAAGAAAAGACCUGUACACACAGGACACAGCAUGGUCUGACGCUCACAGUGUUUUCCUUUCUCUCUGCAGAGGGAUUCAGCACUUUGGGCAAGUGGUUGCACAGAGGAUCCCGUGGAAGAAUUCAUAUAUGAAUCAGAUGAGGAUGCCCCAGGACCGUCGUAGAUACCAACAAGCCCUCUCCCGGCACCUGCAGAAAAAGUGGGGAAAAUCCCCGAAGAGGCAGAAACAUUCGUCCGGAAGGGCCGCCAGCCAGUGGAUUUCCCUGGCCCCUCAGCCCUCUGGAGCGUACGAGUUUUGGAGAACCCUCUUCCUCUGUAUAUGCUUUUGACUUUCCUGGACUGAUGUAAAAAUACUCUUUUCUUUGACCUGUUUAUUUUUAAGACACCAUGUGAUUGUGUCAGCUUAUAUUUUAUUGCUGAAGUAAAUUUUCAAAUGUUUUAUUAGUU